This is a long non-coding RNA of Xenia sp. Carnegie-2017, 257 nucleotides long. RefSeq lists it as uncharacterized. The transcript is spliced from 3 exons. Lineage: Eukaryota; Metazoa; Cnidaria; Anthozoa; Malacalcyonacea; Xeniidae. The record is from RefSeq and is a predicted model, not a curated record.
AGCAGUGUAUCAACGCAAAGUUCACAGGGGCGGAUCUAGGCCAUGGCGAAAGUGGCUUGAGCCACGGUCAGAAUUCUGCCACUUAAGUUUUUCCAGGGUUGACUUUUUCAUGAUUAAAAAUUUUGCUCAAAUACAGCAAAAUUCGAUCAAAAGCAAAAAUUGAAUGAAUUUUGUAAUUUUUUGUCAAAAAUUUGUGUUAACAGAACAAAAACUUCAAAUUAAACGUCUUGUUAAAAUAGUAUUAUCAUCCAGUUAAA